GGGUCGUCUAGUGUCUCGGGUGAAAAAAAUCGAUUUAUUUUUUUUUGCAUAAAUAUUAUCUAAAAUAUGUGUAGAAGACGUGGGUAAAAGGAUUUUUCGAUAUUGAAAGUGGUUUAAAAGUUACAACCGUAUAUCGGAGCAGGUAUACGGAUAGCACGGGAGCCCGCUCGGCGGGGCGUGUCAGCGCUGUCACGUGACAGUUCUCGCAUCGACCGUUCAGAGAGACACUUGAGCGAUUUCGCAAAAGAAGCCCGGGUUUUAAAGAGAGAACAUAAAACGGCUUUGCAGAACUUUUUUGAAGAAGACGGUGAACUGUAUCGUCCAGGUAUAGCAGAUUUAUGAUAAGCAGAACAGCCGAAAUCAUGGCAGCAGUUGAGAAACUUUUUUUUUAUAUGUGUCCCUGUUGGCUGAUGUAAUUAAAAAAAACACUAAGUAUAUCGACUUUAAAAAAUUCAUAAAGUUUGUUAAAAUGUUAAUAAAUAUGAUAUAAAAAUUA
Diabrotica virgifera virgifera (western corn rootworm) is the source of this 496-nucleotide long non-coding RNA. RefSeq lists it as uncharacterized. Lineage: Eukaryota; Metazoa; Arthropoda; Insecta; Coleoptera; Chrysomelidae. The transcript is spliced from 2 exons. The record is from RefSeq and is a predicted model, not a curated record.